Molecule: transfer RNA, 85 nt
Filed under: Holophaga sp.
Lineage: Bacteria; Pseudomonadati; Acidobacteriota; Holophagae; Holophagales; Holophagaceae
Description: tRNA-Leu
Rfam family: tRNA
About the family: Transfer RNA (tRNA) molecules are approximately 80 nucleotides in length. Their secondary structure includes four short double-helical elements and three loops (D, anti-codon, and T loops).
Source: RNAcentral
GGCCCCUUGGCGAAAUGGCAGACGCGAAGCACUCAAAAUGCUUUUCCCUCCGGGAGUCUCGGUUCGAGUCCGAGAGGGGCUACCA